UAUCAGUUCCUGCACAACCUCCACUUAAUAACAUCAUUUUCUCAGUAUUAUUUCUUAAGAGGUCACAAGAGGAGAGUCCCCUCCCUGUUGUAUCCUGUGACUAUAGCACUGCUUAUGAUACCAAUCACUUGUUAUCUGGUGGUCCUGAUUUCUCUGUUAGAUUGUGGGACCUCUUCAAAGGAAUAUUGUUCCACACUCUUGCAGUUCAUGGUGGGGUGGUCAGUAGCAUUGUAGCAUGUCCUCCUCAUAUUAAUCUCACCUAGACUCCUAGUAUCAUGCCUUCAUGCAUGGAACCUUGACAACACACCGGACAAGUUAGUAU
This is a long non-coding RNA of Amphimedon queenslandica, 322 nucleotides long. RefSeq lists it as uncharacterized. The record is from RefSeq and is a predicted model, not a curated record. Lineage: Eukaryota; Metazoa; Porifera; Demospongiae; Haplosclerida; Niphatidae. The transcript is spliced from 3 exons.